Molecule: ribosomal RNA, 253 nt
Filed under: uncultured bacterium
Lineage: Bacteria
Description: partial 16S ribosomal RNA
Rfam family: Bacterial small subunit ribosomal RNA
Source: RNAcentral
GACGGAGGGUGCAACCGUUGUUCGGAAUUACUGGGCGUAAAGCGUGUGUAGGCGGCCACGUAAGUCGGAUGUGAAAGCCCCGGGCUCAACCCGGGAAGUGCACUCGAUACUGCGUGGCUUGAGUAUCGGAGAGGUUGGUGGAAUUCUCGGUGUAGAGGUGAAAUUCGUAGAUAUCGAGAGGAACACCCGUGGCGAAGGCGGCCCCCUGGGCCGAAACUGACGCUGAGGCGCGAAGGCUAGGGGAGCGAACGGG